UACGUAGGGUGCGAGCGUUAAUCGGAAUUACUGGGCGUAAAGCGUGCGCAGGCGGUUUUGUAAGCCAGAUGUGAAAUCCCCGGGCUUAACCUGGGAAUGGCAUUUGGGACUGCAAGGCUUGAGUGCGGCAGAGGAGACUGGAAUUCCUGGUGUAGCAGUGAAAUGCGCAGAUAUCAGGAGGAACACCGAUGGCGAAGGCAGCUCGCUGGGACGGUACUGACGCUGAGGCGCGAAAGCGUGGGGAGCAAACAGG
This 253-nucleotide ribosomal RNA is filed under the name uncultured bacterium. RNAcentral describes it as "partial 16S ribosomal RNA". It matches the Rfam family "Bacterial small subunit ribosomal RNA", at positions 524 to 776 of the family's 1533-position model. The record is from RNAcentral.